Long non-coding RNA from Amblyraja radiata (thorny skate), 86 nucleotides. RefSeq lists it as uncharacterized. The transcript has 3 exons. NCBI's taxonomy places the organism in Eukaryota, Metazoa, Chordata, Chondrichthyes, Rajiformes, Rajidae. The record is from RefSeq and is a predicted model, not a curated record.
GAAUCGCCAAUGUAAGCGAUUCGAGCACUUUAUAGCAGUCUUUUUUCAGGUUCCCCACUAAAGAUGAAAGCAUGAAAAAGGCUGGA